AUAACGGUCCUAAGGUAGCGAAAUUCCUUGUCAGGUAAGUUCUGACCCGCACGAAAGGUGUAACGAUCUGGGCACUGUCUCAACAACCCGCCCGGCGAAAUUGUAGUACCGGUGAAGAUGCCGGUUACCCGCGACUAGACGGAAAGACCCCAUGGAGCUUUACUGUAGCCUAAUAUUGGAUUUCGGUAUUUCACGUACAGGAUAGGUGGGAGACUGGGAAGCACAGGCGUCAGCUUGUGUGGAGUCGACCUUGGGAUACCACUCUUGGAGUGCUGGAAUUCUAACCUGCGGCUUUGAAGCAAGUCGGGGGACAUUGUUAGGUGGGCAGUUUGACUGGGGCGGUCGCCUCCUAAAGAGUAACGGAGGCGCUCAAAGGUUCGCUCUGCAUGGAUGGAAACCAUGCGUCAGAGUGUAAACGCAAAAGCGAGCCUAACUGCGAGAAUGACGGUUCGAGCAGUAACGAAAGUUGGAGUUAGUGAUCCGGCGGUAUGUGAAUGGAAAUGCCGUCGCUCAACGGAUAAAAGCUACCCUGGGGAUAACAGGCUGAUCUCCCCCAAGAGUCCACAUCGACGGGGAGGUUUGGCACCUCGAUGUCGGCUCAUCGCAUCCUGGGGCUGAAUUCGGUCCCAAGGGUUUGGCUGUUCGCCAAUUAAAGCGGUACGCGAGCUGGGUUCAGAACGUCGUGAGACAGUUCGGUCCCUAUCUGUCGUGGGCGCAGGAUAUUUGAUGGGAGCUGUCCCUAGUACGAGAGGACCGGGAUGGACGCACCUCUGGUGCACCAGUUGUCACGCCAGUGGCACAGCUGGGCAGCUAUGUGCGGAACGGAUAAACGCUGAAGGCAUCUAAGCGUGAAGCCGCCCUUAAGAUAAGAUAUCCCUUCUGUUUACAGAGUAAGACCCCUUGAAGACUACAAGGUUGAUAGGCUCAAAGUGUAAGCACGGUGACGUGUUUAGCUAGCGAGUACUAAUCGGUCGAGGGCUUAACCUU
This 987-nucleotide ribosomal RNA is filed under the name human gut metagenome. Its description in RNAcentral is "bacterial LSU rRNA". It matches the Rfam family "Bacterial large subunit ribosomal RNA", at positions 1942 to 2925 of the family's 2925-position model. The record is from RNAcentral.